RNAcentral lists this ribosomal RNA (465 nucleotides) under uncultured bacterium. RNAcentral's name for it is "partial 16S ribosomal RNA". It matches the Rfam family "Bacterial small subunit ribosomal RNA", at positions 29 to 507 of the family's 1533-position model. The record is from RNAcentral.
ACGAACGCUGGCGGCGCGCCUAACACAUGCAAGUCGCACGAGCGAGAGAGAGCUUGCUUUCUCGAGCGAGUGGCGAACGGGUGAGUAACGCGUGAGGAACCUGCCUCAAAGAGGGGGACAACAGUUGGAAACGACUGCUAAUACCGCAUAAGCCCACGACCCGGCAUCGGGUAGAGGGAAAAGGAGCAAUCCGCUUUGAGAUGGCCUCGCGUCCGAUUAGCUAGUUGGUGAGGUAACGGCCCACCAAGGCGACGAUCGGUAGCCGGACUGAGAGGUUGAACGGCCACAGUGGGACUGAGACACGGCCCAGACUCCUACGGGAGGCAGCAGUGGGGAAUAUUGCACAAUGGGGGAAACCCUGAUGCAGCGACGCCGCGUGGAGGAAGAAGGUCUUCGGAUUGUAAACUCCUGUUGUUGAGGAAGAUAAUGACGGUACUCAACAAGGAAGUGACGGCUAACUACGUG